This 877-nucleotide unclassified non-coding RNA is filed under the name Cenococcum sp. SB24. Its description in RNAcentral is "sequence contains 18S rRNA gene, ITS1, 5.8S rRNA gene, ITS2 and 28S rRNA gene". The record is from RNAcentral. Lineage: Eukaryota; Fungi; Ascomycota; Dothideomycetes; Gloniales; Gloniaceae.
UUGAAAUUAUUAUUGGUCAUUGUAACUUGUAGACCCUUUGUGACCGAAGGUGGUGAAUAGGAGAUUUGACCUUCUAGGAAGCGUAUGCAGUGGUCCGGAAGGUGGUGUCGGCGAACUAGAAUUGAUGGGAUAGCUAAAGCCUGUCCACCAUCUGUGUGGGAAACCCUGGAGGGCCGUGCUAACUACAGGGGUGAAAAAAUGAUCAGAUACCUCCACCACUUUUUUGGUGUGGUACCAUGGGCAACCCGCACCGAACCCCUAAGUCCGGCCGCCGAUAUGAGGAACGUUCUCGACUAAGUGGAAGUGGGUGGAGCGUUCGCUCCUCUGUAUAACAUAUAGUCGGUCCCCUAGGAGACUAAGGGGGUGAGUCCCUGCUGCAAAUUUAUACUUGAGCGCUCGGGAUAGCCCUCAUGUUUAUUUUCCAAAAUAACAUUGCCUCCGGUUCACGGUCUUAAACCGUCCGUAGUGAACUGCCAAGAUCAUUACCGAAAGUUAACCCGAUCCACCCACAACUACUAAGCUUUGAGAUUGACCCGUGGCUCGAGGUUCUCCACUCAAGAUACUCAAACUCUGUUUACCGUGUGUCUGAACACAGAACUAUCCAAUUUGCGCAGGGAUUGUGGUUCGGGCGCAUGGACACGCAUCAAUCGAAAAGAGUGGAAUUGCAAUCACUGAUCUCGCACUCUUGAAGGCCCUGCCGUCCUGAUGCCAGGGGAUGGCGGUCAGCUUAUUCACCCUCGCUGGUGGGUGGGCACUCCCUUGGACCACCUUCCAAGCUCGAGAUGCACGGUUUAGUACAAUCUGGUCAAGUGCGCCCGUGAUGAAACAUCCAAGUAACUCGUCAGGGAUUCCUUGACUUAUGCUGAAAGCCAGAAAC